CAGGCCUUGAAGUUUGUUUCAUGUGGGAGUUAAAGGAUAAAUCCUGAUCAAAUAUAACUGUAUGUGUAUGUGUGGUCUGUUUAGGAUAGUGGUGCCAGGUUAGAAAAGAGGAUAGUUAGUUUGUAUGCAAGACCCUAUGUCUGUGUGAAAUAUCACUAACAUCAACGUAGCACGUAGCACAUCACAACAAUAAAACUCAAUGAACCAAAUCUAUACAUGUACAUUCACAAAAGUAACACAGUCCUGUGCUUAGCUGUGUACUCUGCUAUUCUAUGUUAUGUCCAGUUAUAUGCUCAGUGGUUACAUUACCAGUCCAUAAAGGAAGAAGUUGCUUUUGCGUGCUGCGUUGUUAUCUAGCGGUUCCGUUGGAUUAGUCAGGUGGGGAAGAAUUGUGGUUCUGGGAAAUGUCCUUGCUCUGCAGUAUUCCGAUUGUGCAGAUGGAUGAAGCUGGUUGCUCCAUCUGUUGUUCUUCUCAGUUAACUCUGCUUCAUUGCUCUUGUUGAAAGUUAGCAGGCAGGCUUUCUUGUUGUAGCUGCUGGCGCUAGCGUUAAUUCAGCUUGAUUGCAGAAACCUUACGCAGGCCCUCACAGUGCUGCUGUAAGAGAGAGAGAGAGAGAGAGUUCAGUUCUGCUGUGUGUCUGCUGGUUAGCAUGCCACACUGGGAGGGAAACAGCCACAGCUGUCUGCUGCAGUGAAGAAUUCCAGGAGAAAGAGAAAGAACAAUGGCCGCUGACCCUUUUCUCAAUCUGACCAAUCAUAACCGAAAGCUGGGUCCAUGGGGGGAGUUCACACCUAGUAGGUGUGAAUACCAAUGGAUUGUGGGAGACUGAGUUCAGUGGCUCUACUUUGUUUACAGAACAAAAGAGCACGCAGUCUCCUAAUAAGUUCAGUUAAAGUCACAAAUGAACAAAUUCGUCUGUCCCAGUGGUCCCAACAACAGACUUACCCAUGUGGACACGAUCAGUAAUAUUUUAUACUUAGUCAGAUAGUUGCAGAUAGUUUCAGUUUGGGGGUUAUUAGAUGUUCUGUCUGAGAUUUCUCCUCUACCCCUAUACAAUGGAGAUGGGUGGAAUUUUAUUUGUGCUUCUCACAGCAUUAAAAAAUUAAGUUUGAAAAACAGCUGCACUGUGUGCUUACAAAAACAACCUCGAGCUGUGCCCCCCCCAGAUUUUUUUCUCACUGCCCCAGACCAGAGCUCUGCCCCAGGUCACAAACACAAACACAACUGCACUCCAAACAGAAACGUUCAUUCUAACAUCUGACUGGCUGAUCAGGAAACAUAAAACUCAGAGACAAACUGCUUCACAAAUCUUUCUUCUUCCGUCUGGCAGGAUGAUCAGGUGGGACAAGUGGCUAUGUGUCAUUUGCAGUAUCAUACUGUCAAGUAGUUUUGCUAAGAAAGGAUAGGAGGGUAAUCUAGGUGUGCUAGACAAACACUAUCAAGACAUAGUGUUGCCUCACCUCUACAGGUUCAUCUUUGGGUGGGGGAGGGGGGGAGUCUAUGUGGAAGUGCAGCACAGCUUUAGCGUUUGUUUGUUUACUUACGUGUGUGCAUGCUAGUGCUACAGCAUGCUUCAUUUGACUAAUGUUACCUCUGUGUCUUUGGUGUGUUAGGCUUACAUUUUAUUAUGUUCUAUUUGUUUUUUGCAAACCACGUACUAUCCUUGACCCGACACUUUGGCCCAAGUGGAAGCACUCCCUCACACCCUCCCGACAACAGUAAAGAUCCGUGGCUAGAGCAGGGAGACCCCGCUUCGGUUGGCAUUGAUUCAGACUAUGGUUUAAAUACAAACACACCGUCUCGGCCUUUGCUGAAAUCGUAUCCAUGAUGAGUUUUUAGCCAGGGUUUUAGUGCUUUUGACCCAAGUUGGUAUUGCUCUCUGCCAUAGCUAGAAUACUCUGUAAAGCAAGAUGCAUGCUUUUGCUUCCCCUGUCAAAAAUUUGGUGCCACCAAUAAUAAAGAUGUUGUGUUGCAAAAUGAGGUUUUAUCCAUUGGAAGUGCAUUGGGAAAGGACAGAGGAUUCGACUAGCAUGCAUGUAACCACUGCAAGAAAGAGGCAACUGAUGAAACAGUAGCCCCUCUGCUAGGACCAAACCAGAUUAAGAAAAGCUGACUCUUACUGUGAUGUGGCAAUGGCAGUACCCACCGUUGACGUCACCAAGGUCUGGACCUCAGUAUUUUUUCCUAGGUGUAUAUAAUAAAAGUUGUGAAAUAAUUGCCAAAAAAUAAUACUUUCGUGCGGCAAAUAUAUUGUACAAUGCCAAGAUUACCGACUUGCUCUUCUGAUCAUUGCUUGUGUGUGGGUCGAUGGUUGGUGAAGUGGAUGAUCUUGUCAUUACUACAAACACUUUACUCAACACGGUGGUUCUUAGAUUAUGUUAACAACCGGACAGGCAGGUGAAUCCAUGCAAAACGUCAUACAGGUAACUAGAGAAUUUUACUUGUGGACUGCUUGUAGUUCAAUGCCAUUCGUCCCCAGACAUCAUAUGACAAAUAGCUCCUGUGCGGUCGUGCUACGUGACCAUUGGCCAUCCAGCAUAAAGCUGGCAAGUUAGUUUCACUUGAAUUAAUUAAUUAGCUAGCUAUCCAGCUAACAUUAAUUCCAUCUAUCCAAUGGUAGACUGAUAAACUUUCAACAAAAGUUGAAAUGCUUUUCUUUCAAUUCAGUUUGUGUAAAGGGUUGAAAUUCAUGUUAAAAUGAAUUAUCCCAAUAUAUUUUUAUUUUCAUUGCAAGAUUAUCUUAGUGGAGGCUGGUAACAUUUACAUAUAAAUAUCAAUUGACCAGUGUUUACUUUCUUCAUUGAGACAGACCAAAAUGAAAAGACUCCGUCAAUCAAAGCUCAGCUUUGGGAAGGGAAGAGAUAUGGGAAAAGAUGAGGUGACUGAAAGGAAAAGAAAGAGAGAAAGUCAUGGAAAAGAGAGAGGAAGAGCAGGUACUGCCCACUGAGUCCAGGAUAUGAUUAGCAUUAUGUCCCUGUGCUGUUCAACUCAAACAAAAACUGACCUGAUCCAAUUAAAACAAUGUAAUUAUCGCAGAGAUAUAUAUGUUAUUUGGUAAUUACAGUGGAACCUAUAGGCUAAAAAAAAGAACACAAACACCUAGCAUAAUUAUAGUGUAAUAAUAUAGUAUUAUUGUAUGAAUAUAUUAUUGUAUAACACACAUUUUGCUUACGUUUAUGUACUGUUUGAGACAGUUUUUAUAAUUCAGUUUCUAAAACCCUGUGUAUGGCCCUGGAUGUAGCAAAAAAUUCUUGGUGAAUUGAGUUUGUAGUUAAAAAUGUUCAUAAUUAAUAAAGUUCAUAUGAAGUUGGGGACUAAGAGUUAUUAGUGGCUGUGGGGAGAAUAAACUCACAAUUAAACAUAUGUAGGGUAGUGUUUUGUUCAAGCACAUUCUCAUUGCAUUUAGAUAACAUACAUGCAUUGAAAUAUAUGUAGACAAAAAUAAAGUUUUUCCAAUCGGCCGUCGCACACCAAGUUACAAAGGGAAGAGAGUUAAAAAAAAAAAAACAUGCACAUGCCUAAAUAUUGUGAUGGGGGAGUUACGCUGAGUGUAGGUACUUGUGCAAGUACUUGUACUUGCGGACGAUGUAACAUGGAGUGUAUGUCUGUAAAAGAAUGGAAACUUCGUUUCUGUUGUCUGCUAGGACCUUGACCAGCCUAGUUAUCCUGAGACACUUUAUGUGUCUCAAUGGGCCAGCACUACAGGUCCUGCAAUAUAUCGUAUUGAAGCAGAUUGUUUCAUUAGGCUGUUAGACGAAUUUAUUUUUCUCAGCGUUUGUGAAGAUAGAGAGAGGGUAACUGCAACCAGAGGGCGUGAAGAAUGGCAAUUACAACCUUACACUCUCACUCUUCAAGAAUAUACCUCAUGGUUUAAAAACAUCUUCUUUAUCCAGUGGUGUGAUAAGAGGGCUCUGAAAAGGGUGUUCAGUGAAGUUGACAAAGUUUUCAAAAUAGACAGAAUCAACGCUUCUUGUGAAAGUAUUAGAAAACUCCUUGCUUUUGAUGAUAUAUCGUUGUGCAAUCAGGCCUUCUGCCCUCCAUGUGUAGGCCGAAAAUCAUCAAUCACGGCAACAACUAACAACAAACGAAUACAUACCAUGCAGCUGGAUAUCUCUGCUGGCCUGGGUACCUAUCGGAACCCCCCUUCCUCAGUCUCCACUGUCCUGCACACCUCCACCGCCUCCAACAUCUCUGCAGGCACCUCCAGAAGAUCUGUCAUCUCUGCUGUCCUGGACACCUCCAUCAUCUCUGCUGCCCUGGCUACCUAUCGGAACUCCACCUCCUCUAUCGCCGCCUCAUCCAUCUCUGCUGGUCUGUACACCUCCAACAUCUCCACUUACUAUGGACUUACAUGAGGUGAGCACAGAUGUGAUUGGUGACCAGCCGGACGGUGUGCUGUCAAUGGGUUCAUAGAUGGCGUUAAAACAGUUGUCUUUCAUCUGCUCAAUAUUUUUUUUGUACAAGUAUUGGGAUGAGAUCUGCUAUGGCUGUCAGAUUAAUCAGCCCAGCAAGAAACAUCAUGAGUGGGUGUUGUCAAAGUAGUUCAAAUUUGCAGGGCUGGUAACUAUGAGUAGAAAGUUUAUUGAAAAAAACAAAACAAAUUGUAACCAUACCCUAUAUUUUUCUUUGUGUCAUGGGAAAUAGUUUGAGAGGGCUGUUUAGGGCUGCCAAAGUGAACGAUGUCACAAAGUACAAAAACAAAAGUGAAGUGAAGCCGUCUGAUGUCUGCAGAUUGAAAAAAAUUGAUGAAUGUAGUAAGAACUCAGUCUUGUGCAAGAGACUCACUGUAACAAUGAUGAUGAUGCAAAACUCAGUGUUGGAGACUUUUUGUGCAGUAAUUAUGCAUACCACGAAUGAUUUCAACGUGAUAAAACGCUGUACACUUUGUUUGUAGAUGCCAUAAGUCUGUAUGUUCAAGAACAACAGUAAAACCAGAAUUCCUGUUUUAGCUGAAACCUUGUAUGUGUUAAAAUAUUUUUCAUAGUCUUUGUGAUUAUUGCUUUGUGUGUGUAAUAUACAUUGAUGUAUGCAGAAAGAUGUUUUACUAUGAUUAGUACAAUGGUGAAAUAAAUAAAAAGACGUGACAAACACAA
Siniperca chuatsi (mandarin fish) is the source of this 5094-nucleotide long non-coding RNA. RefSeq lists it as uncharacterized. NCBI's taxonomy places the organism in Eukaryota, Metazoa, Chordata, Actinopteri, Centrarchiformes, Sinipercidae. The transcript is spliced from 2 exons. The record is from RefSeq and is a predicted model, not a curated record.